Long non-coding RNA from Spinacia oleracea (spinach), 1395 nucleotides. RefSeq lists it as uncharacterized. The transcript is spliced from 2 exons. The record is from RefSeq and is a predicted model, not a curated record. NCBI's taxonomy places the organism in Eukaryota, Viridiplantae, Streptophyta, Magnoliopsida, Caryophyllales, Amaranthaceae.
CUACAAGAAAUCGCUUGAUUACCGACCAUAUUUACCGACCGCCAUUAAAGUGGUUGGUAAAACUAAAUUUACCAACCAAAAAUAAAGCAGUCGGUAAUUUAUCGACCGAUAUAGAAGCGGUCGUUAUUUUUUAAAUUUACCGACCGCUUCUAAAGCAGUCAACAAAUUAACGACUGCUUUUCUAAGCUUUUCGACUACUUAAUAGUCAGUAAAAAUCUGAUUAGUUCCAAAAUAUAUUUAAAAUUUUACCAACCGCUUAUUGAAUAAAUCCGACCGGUAUUAGCGGUCGUUAUUUAUUUCAAAAAAAAUUUGUAGCAUCUUCAAUUAUUGAAUUGGGUUUAGUCGACCAACUGAACUCCUCAUUGUACAUUCGGAAAAAGAAAAAAAAAAUGCACGGAGCAACAGGGGAUUACUCGACCAACGAAUUGGGUGAAGCCAGCAAUCUUUUUACCGACCGCUCAUACAAUAGUCGGUAAAAAGAGAUUUUCCGACCGAACAACAGGUAGUCGGUAAAAAAUUAUUUACCAACCGCCCAAGCAGUCGGUAAAAAGUUAUUUAACGACUGACAAGUAAGUAGUCGGUAAAAAAUUAUUUACCGUCCACCAAAGCAGUCGGUAAAUAAUUAUUUAACGACCGCUUAAUUAGUAGUCGGUAAAAGGUCAUUUACCAACUACAAUAACGAUUGGUAAAGUAGCCACUUUUCCAAAAAAAAUUGUCGAUUGCUCUUCACUAAACAAACCCUAAAACAAACCCUUGCCUGCCUCUUUCUCACAGCCGCUCAAAGUCUUCUCUCACCUACCUCAUCUCUUUCUCUCACUUGUCUCCUCCCCCUUUCUCUGGAUCCCCCAUCUUUCUCUCACCUUACCUCCAUCUUAUUCUCUCUGAUUCUCUCAUCCUCUCAGACUCUCAUCUCCAUUUAUUCAUUUCUUGUUACUUCUCUCUCAUUCUCUUCUCAACCAUACAAAACACAAUAAUAAAUAACAAAAUCAAAACAAUAUAAAUAAAAACUUACAAGAAGAACAAGUUUGGGUGUUUGUGUUGAUUUUUGAAAGGUUGGUCUUUGGAGAUUUGUCCUCUUCAUCUCUUUUCGUUUGCCCAUGGAGAUUUCGAAAGGGCCGUGGUGAUUGGGGGCGAGAAAUCACGUCGACGAUAGCGUCUCCGUUCAGGUUCUAUUGUUGCAGCUUAGGCGUUUCUUUGGGCACAUAUCAACUACCCUUUUCUUAUGGAAGAAUUCCCUUAUUUAAGGAUUCUGAGGCAAAAUGUCAAUCUUCUUGGUGAUUUUGUUUAAUUUAGGUGGUUGUAAAUUAAGUUAGAUUUCUUAAUUUUUUGGAUGUAAUUAUAUUGGUUAUUUAAUUUAUUAAACAUUUAUUUUUAGUGAUUAAAUUUUUUGGUUGA